RNAcentral lists this ribosomal RNA (253 nucleotides) under uncultured bacterium. RNAcentral describes it as "partial 16S ribosomal RNA". It matches the Rfam family "Bacterial small subunit ribosomal RNA", at positions 524 to 776 of the family's 1533-position model. The record is from RNAcentral.
UACGUAGGGUGCAAGCGUUGUCCGGAAUUAUUGGGCGUAAAGAGCUCGUAGGCGGUCUGUCGCGUCGGCUGUGAAAUCCCGAGGCUCAACCUCGGGCCUGCAGUCGAUACGGGCAAACUGGAGUGUUGCAGGGGAGACUGGAAUUCCUGGUGUAGCGGUGGAAUGCGCAGAUAUCAGGAGGAACACCGGUGGCGAAGGCGGGUCUCUGGGCCGACAUUGACGCUGAGGAGCGAAAGCGUGGGGAGCGAACAGG